Anolis carolinensis (green anole) is the source of this 1001-nucleotide long non-coding RNA. RefSeq lists it as uncharacterized. NCBI's taxonomy places the organism in Eukaryota, Metazoa, Chordata, Lepidosauria, Squamata, Anolidae. The record is from RefSeq and is a predicted model, not a curated record. The transcript is spliced from 3 exons.
CACACACACACACAAACACACAGGGACAGACCGGCCGCGUGUCCGUACUCACACUCGGGGCAGCUGCAGCGGCGGCGCCCCCCGGCGCUGGAACACUCCGUCGACGAAGACGCCGUUCUUGCCCAGGCAGCGCAGGUAUAAACAGAAUCCCAAAGCCAUUUACAGAAAUUUUAAGGAUAGCAUUUAAAUUCAAUCAGUAAUGGAAAGGCUAGCAACAAGAAAAUGCAAAUUCAUAUUUUCUCAUUUUUGCCUUCUUAUUCAUUUUCUGCCUUUUUGGAUCGUUGGAAAGCUCUGAUCAUAUAGAGGAAGGCAGUGUGUGGAGAUGCUGAGAGCAGUGCUUUUGGAUUGGCAAUCCCCUAUGUUGUACCAGCGACUAGCACCAGUUGUGCUCUUUGGCUAUUAUUGUAUACUGGCAGCCUGGUGUUGCAGACGGCACUGAUCCACAGACCACCAUUGAGUCUAGGAACCCUGUGAAGAAGAAACCAGCCUCCCAACCUGCCUCAGUCCUUGGUCUCUAGAUUAGAGAUAUCAAGUGUCAACACAGACUGCAGACAGACUUUAAUUAAUUAAACUUAUUGUGUCCAUUGUAAUCACUAUAACACAAAGAUGCAUGCCUCUGGAUUUCCCUUCUCAUCCAUGCCAAGUUUCAGAUAAUUAGGUUUUACAGUUGUGCAGUGUGCUAGAGACAGACAGACAGACACACAUAUUUUAAAUAGUAUAGGUAUGUAAUUAAUGCAGCAUAGCAUGACCAGGAAAAGUAUACAUAGAAUUGGAAUCCCAAGAUUCACACCUGCUAAUAACCCUUAAUGCCUGAGAUUGCAAUUAUGAAUCUGAAGGGCUUAAAUAGUAUUUUAAACAUUUGUUUUUGUUUACAAUAUUAUACCAUUUUGUUUUAUUACUUGAUAUUUUAUUAUUGUCUGUUAUAUCAUUUACUGUAUGUACUGAGUCCCUUCGGGGAGCGGGAGCAGGAUAUAAAUAAAGAUUAUUGUUAUUAUUCGUAA